CCUCCUAAAGAGUAACGGAGGAGCACGAAGGUUGGCUAAUCCUGGUCGGACAUCAGGAGGUUAGUGCAAUGGCAUAAGCCAGCUUGACUGCGAGCGUGACGGCGCGAGCAGGUGCGAAAGCAGGUCAUAGUGAUCCGGUGGUUCUGAAUGGAAGGGCCAUCGCUCAACGGAUAAAAGGUACUCCGGGGAUAACAGGCUGAUACCGCCCAAGAGUUCAUAUCGACGGCGGUGUUUGGCACCUCGAUGUCGGCUCAUCACAUCCUGGGGCUGAAGUAGGUCCCAAGGGUAUGGCUGUUCGCCAUUUAAAGUGGUACGCGAGCUGGGUUUAGAACGUCGUGAGACAGUUCGGUCCCUAUCUGCCGUGGGCGCUGGAGAACUGAGGGGGGCUGCUCCUAGUACGAGAGGACCGGAGUGGACGCAUCACUGGUGUUCGGGUUGUCAUGCCAAUGGCACUGCCCGGUAGCUAAAUGCGGAAGAGAUAAGUGCUGAAAGCAUCUAAGCACGAAACUUGCCCCGAGAUGAGUUCUCCCUGACCCUUUAAGGGUCCUGAAGGAACGUUGAAGACGACGACGUUGAUAGGCCGGGUGUGUAAGCGCAGCGAUGCGUUGAGCUAACCGGUACUAAUGAACCGUGAGGCUUAACCUUACAACGCCGAAGGUGUUU
RNAcentral lists this ribosomal RNA (663 nucleotides) under Escherichia coli. RNAcentral's name for it is "partial 23S ribosomal RNA". It matches the Rfam family "Bacterial large subunit ribosomal RNA", at positions 2286 to 2925 of the family's 2925-position model. The record is from RNAcentral. Lineage: Bacteria; Pseudomonadati; Pseudomonadota; Gammaproteobacteria; Enterobacterales; Enterobacteriaceae.